GAUCGAGUGGCGAACGGGUGAGUAACGCGUGAGGAACCUGCCUCAAAGAGGGGGACAACAGUUGGAAACGACUGCUAAUACCGCAUAAGCCCACGGGUCGGCAUCGAUCUGAGGGAAAAGGAGUGAUCCGCUUUGAGAUGGCCUCGCGUCCGAUUAGCUAGUUGGUGAGGUAACGGCCCACCAAGGCGACGAUCGGUAGCCGGACUGAGAGGUUGAACGGCCACAUUGGGACUGAGACACGGCCCAGACUCCUACGGGAGGCAGCAGUGGGGAAUAUUGCACAAUGGGGGAAACCCUGAUGCAGCGACGCCGCGUGGAGGAAGAAGGUCUUCGGAUUGUAAACUCCUGUUGUUGAGGAAGAUAAUGACGGUACUCAACAAGGAAGUGACGGCUAACUACGUGCCAGCAGCCGCGGUAAAACGUAGGUCACAAGCGUUGUCCGGAAUUACUGGGUGUAAAGGGAGCGCAGGCGGGAAGACAAGUUGGAAGUGAAAUCUAUGGGCUCAACCCAUAAACUGCUUUCAAAACUGUUUUUCUUGAGUAGUGCAGAGGUAGGCGGAAUUCCCGGUGUAGCGGUGGAAUGCGUAGAUAUCGGGAGGAACACCAGUGGCGAAGGCGGCCUACUGGGCACCAACUG
This 637-nucleotide ribosomal RNA is filed under the name uncultured Lachnospiraceae bacterium. RNAcentral describes it as "bacterial SSU rRNA". It matches the Rfam family "Bacterial small subunit ribosomal RNA", at positions 89 to 742 of the family's 1533-position model. Lineage: Bacteria; Bacillati; Bacillota; Clostridia; Lachnospirales; Lachnospiraceae. The record is from RNAcentral.